Molecule: long non-coding RNA, 782 nt
Organism: Ruditapes philippinarum (Manila clam)
Lineage: Eukaryota; Metazoa; Mollusca; Bivalvia; Venerida; Veneridae
Exons: 3
Source: RefSeq, a predicted model, not a curated record
AGACACAGGGCGACCACAAUAGGUCACAUUGAGCAUGUUGUUGAGAGAAAAAAAAAAUAGCGAUUCCUACUUCAGUCAUAGAAUAGUGAAAAUAGUGACAUAUUAAACAUGUUUUCUUCUUGAUUUCAGUGGCCAAAACAACAUUGUCGCAGUAGUUGGAAGUGUCCUUGGUACACUAUGUUUUUGUUUAGUUCUGGCAUUAAUACUUAUGUUUAUUUUACGUCGAAAGAGGAAGGAAAAAAGUGGGAAGUCAACGGCCAAUAACGAUUACACAAGUCCGGUUACAGAUACAUCGGAAGAACAUCAAUAUAGUACCAUUGACAUGGUACUUGACACACAGACACGACAAAGGAACGACGCGUAUGAAAAUGGAAGAAUCGCGCCCUUUUGACGUUUAUUUUACAUGCAUCCAACAUAGAAGUCUUUAGAAAUUUUGUUUUCAAGUUUCAUUAUGCCUUUUUUCUUGAAACAAAUUUAAUUCAAUUACAUCCAGUGUUGCAGAUUGAAUAUUGCUUCAGUAGAUGCUACGGGAUGUAAGAUAUGUUGUAUCUUUAUUAUUGCUCAUGGACACAAUCAUGCUUUACUUCUGCUUUUCUUGCUCUCUAAUUAAGGGAUCUCCUAACAAUUUUCCAGUUUUUAUACAGUGAAGAUAUUUCAACCGUGUUUUCAAUAAUUCAGGUCUGCAAAUAUAAAUAUGAAAGGAUAUGUUGUUGUUGUUUUUCUUCAACUCGUAAAACAGAUGCGGCUCAUUAAAGAAAAGCAUUUUGACAACAUGGGUGUAG